This 501-nucleotide ribosomal RNA is filed under the name uncultured bacterium. Its description in RNAcentral is "partial 16S ribosomal RNA". It matches the Rfam family "Bacterial small subunit ribosomal RNA", at positions 28 to 523 of the family's 1533-position model. The record is from RNAcentral.
GAUGAACGCUAGCGGCAGGCUUAAUACAUGCAAGUCGAGGGGCAGCACAGAUAGCAAUAUUGGGUGGCGACCUGCAAACGGGUGCGGAACACGUACACAACCUUCCUUUUAGUGUGGGAUAGCCCAGAGAAAUUUGGAUUAAUACCACAUAGUAUAUUGGAGUGGCAUCACUUUGAUGUUAAAGAUUUAUCGCUAAAAGAUGGGUGUGCGUAUGAUUAGGUAGUUGGUAGAGGUAACGGCUCACCAAGCCUUCGAUCAUUAACUGGUGUGAGAGCACGACCAGUCACACGGGCACUGAGACACGGGCCCGACUCCUACGGGAGGCAGCAGUAAGGAAUAUUGGUCAAUGGACGGAAGUCUGAACCAGCCAUGCCGCGUGAAGGAUGACGGCCCUCUGGGUUGUAAACUUCUUUUAUGUGGGACGAAAAAGGGCUAUUUUUGGUCAACUGACGGUACCAUAGGAAUAAGCACCGGCUAACUCCGUGCCAGCAGCCGCGGUAA